CCUACGGGAGGCUGCAGUGGGGAAUCUUGGACAAUGGGGGCAACCCUGAUCCAGCGAUGCCGCGUGAGUGAAGAAGGCCUUCGGGUCGUAAAGCUCUUUAGGUUGGGAAGAAGGUUAUGCGAGGAUAAUUCGUGUAACUUGACGGUACUAACAGAAUAAGCACCGGCAAACUCUGUGCCAGCAGCCGCGGUAAUACAGAGGGUGCAAGCGUUAAUCGGAGUUACUGGGCGUAAAGGGCGCGUAGGCGGUUUGUUGGGUGUGAUGUGAAAGCCUUG
RNAcentral lists this ribosomal RNA (275 nucleotides) under uncultured Aquicella sp. Its description in RNAcentral is "partial 16S ribosomal RNA". It matches the Rfam family "Bacterial small subunit ribosomal RNA", at positions 338 to 605 of the family's 1533-position model. The record is from RNAcentral. Lineage: Bacteria; Pseudomonadati; Pseudomonadota; Gammaproteobacteria; Legionellales; Coxiellaceae.